CGGAGAAUGUUAUCACGGGAGACACACGGCGGGUGCUAACGUCCGUCGUGAAGAGGGAAACAACCCAGACCGCCAGCUAAGGUCCCAAAGUCAUGGUUAAGUGGGAAACGAUGUGGGAAGGCCCAGACAGCCAGGAUGUUGGCUUAGAAGCAGCCAUCAUUUAAAGAAAGCGUAAUAGCUCACUGGUCGAGUCGGCCUGCGCGGAAGAUGUAACGGGGCUAAACCAUGCACCGAAGCUGCGGCAGCGACGCUUAUGCGUUGUUGGGUAGGGGAGCGUUCUGUAAGCCUGUGAAGGUGGCCUGUGAGGGUUGCUGGAGGUAUCAGAAGUGCGAAUGCUGACAUAAGUAACGAUAAAGCGGGUGAAAAGCCCGCUCGCCGGAAGACCAAGGGUUCCUGUCCAACGUUAAUCGGGGCAGGGUGAGUCGACCCCUAAGGCGAGGCCGAAAGGCGUAGUCGAUGGGAAACGGGUUAAUAUUCCCGUACUUGGUGUUACUGCGAAGGGGGGACGG
RNAcentral lists this ribosomal RNA (509 nucleotides) under Salmonella enterica. Its description in RNAcentral is "partial 23S ribosomal RNA". It matches the Rfam family "Bacterial large subunit ribosomal RNA", at positions 963 to 1475 of the family's 2925-position model. Lineage: Bacteria; Pseudomonadati; Pseudomonadota; Gammaproteobacteria; Enterobacterales; Enterobacteriaceae. The record is from RNAcentral.